RNAcentral lists this transfer RNA (76 nucleotides) under Verrucomicrobiota bacterium. RNAcentral's name for it is "Verrucomicrobia bacterium tRNA-Ala". It matches the Rfam family "tRNA". From Rfam's summary of the family: Transfer RNA (tRNA) molecules are approximately 80 nucleotides in length. The record is from RNAcentral. Lineage: Bacteria; Pseudomonadati; Verrucomicrobiota.
GGGGCGGUAGCUCAGUUGGGAGAGCACCACGUUCGCAACGUGGGGGUCAUGGGUUCAAAUCCCAUUCGCUCCACCA